GCCCUGUUAGUGUAGUCCGGAAAGAUUUGCACCAUAAAACGCAGAUUUUGGAUAACCAAUCAUACAGCCCUUUCGAGGCUGUGACCCGGGUUCAAAUCCCGGACAGGGCA
Molecule: transfer RNA, 110 nt
Filed under: Candidatus Woesearchaeota archaeon
Lineage: Archaea; Nanobdellati; Candidatus Woesearchaeota
Description: tRNA-Glu
Rfam family: tRNA
About the family: Transfer RNA (tRNA) molecules are approximately 80 nucleotides in length. Their secondary structure includes four short double-helical elements and three loops (D, anti-codon, and T loops). Further hydrogen bonds mediate the characteristic L-shaped molecular structure. tRNAs have two regions of fundamental functional importance: the anti-codon, which is responsible for specific mRNA codon recognition, and the 3' end, to which the tRNAs corresponding amino acid is attached (by aminoacyl-tRNA synthetases). tRNAs cope with the degeneracy of the genetic code in two manners: having more than one tRNA (with a specific anti-codon) for a particular amino acid; and 'wobble' base-pairing, i.e. permitting non-standard base-pairing at the 3rd anti-codon position.
Source: RNAcentral